RNAcentral lists this ribosomal RNA (475 nucleotides) under uncultured bacterium. RNAcentral's name for it is "bacterial SSU rRNA". It matches the Rfam family "Bacterial small subunit ribosomal RNA", at positions 335 to 802 of the family's 1533-position model. The record is from RNAcentral.
ACUCCUACGGGAGGCAGCAGUGGGGAAUAUUGCGCAAUGGACGAAAGUCUGACGCAGCGACGCCGCGUGGAGGAUGAAGGUUUUCGGAUCGUAAACUCCUGUCAAGAGGGAAGAAACCUAUUAUGAAUAAUACUCAUAGUAAUUGACGGUACCUCUAGAGGAAGCACCGGCUAAUUCAGUGCCAGCAGCCGCGGUAAUACUGAAGGUGCAAGCGUUAAUCGGAAUCACUGGGCGUAAAGCGCUCGUAGGUGGCUUUGUAAGUCAGGUGUGAAAGCCCACGGCUCAACCGUGGAAUUGCACUUGAUACUGCAUCGCUAGAGUAUAGGAGAGGGAAGUGGAAUUUCUGGUGUAGGAGUGAAAUCCGUAGAGAUCAGAAGGAACACCCGUGGCGAAGGCGACUUCCUGGACUAUUACUGACACUGAGGAGCGAAAGCGUGGGAGCAAACAGGAUUAGAUACCCCGUGGUAGACUGUCA